CCCUUCUAAACUUCCACCUCGAGGAGGUCCCCAAAACCAACCCAAUGACCAGACAACAACGAGCACAAGGGGGCCACGGCCCAAUGAAUGACUAAGGGUGGGGGGUCGUACGUGGGGGAACGGGCUCCUGCCUCGGGUUCCCUCUACUCGUGGCGCGCUCCUCUUCCUUCCUGGAGGCAGAAUAAAAACACAAUGAGUGCUGGUUCCAACUAGGACACGAGGACACAGUGAGUCGACUUCACGACGUUCGC
Molecule: non-coding RNA, 251 nt
Organism: Paramisgurnus dabryanus
Lineage: Eukaryota; Metazoa; Chordata; Actinopteri; Cypriniformes; Cobitidae
Source: RefSeq, a predicted model, not a curated record